Molecule: ribosomal RNA, 253 nt
Filed under: uncultured bacterium
Lineage: Bacteria
Description: partial 16S ribosomal RNA
Rfam family: Bacterial small subunit ribosomal RNA
Source: RNAcentral
UACGUAGGUGGCAAGCGUUGUCCGGAAUUAUUGGGCGUAAAGCGCGCGCAGGCGGUCCUUUAAGUCUGAUGUGAAAGCCCACGGCUCAACCGUGGAGGGUCAUUGGAAACUGGGGGACUUGAGUGCAGAAGAGGAAAGCGGAGUUCCACGUGUAGCGGUGAAAUGCGUAGAUAUCUGGAGGAACACCGGUGGCGAAGGCGGCAUCCUGGACCGGCAUUGACGCUGAGGAGCGAAAGCCAGGGGAGCAAACGGG